Molecule: ribosomal RNA, 769 nt
Filed under: Salmonella enterica subsp. enterica serovar Typhimurium
Lineage: Bacteria; Pseudomonadati; Pseudomonadota; Gammaproteobacteria; Enterobacterales; Enterobacteriaceae
Description: bacterial SSU rRNA
Rfam family: Bacterial small subunit ribosomal RNA
Source: RNAcentral
AAAUUGAAGAGUUUGAUCAUGGCUCAGAUUGAACGCUGGCGGCAGGCCUAACACAUGCAAGUCGAACGGUAACAGGAAGCAGCUUGCUGCUUCGCUGACGAGUGGCGGACGGGUGAGUAAUGUCUGGGAAACUGCCUGAUGGAGGGGGAUAACUACUGGAAACGGUGGCUAAUACCGCAUAACGUCGCAAGACCAAAGAGGGGGACCUUCGGGCCUCUUGCCAUCAGAUGUGCCCAGAUGGGAUUAGCUAGUUGGUGAGGUAACGGCUCACCAAGGCGACGAUCCCUAGCUGGUCUGAGAGGAUGACCAGCCACACUGGAACUGAGACACGGUCCAGACUCCUACGGGAGGCAGCAGUGGGGAAUAUUGCACAAUGGGCGCAAGCCUGAUGCAGCCAUGCCGCGUGUAUGAAGAAGGCCUUCGGGUUGUAAAGUACUUUCAGCGGGGAGGAAGGUGUUGUGGUUAAUAACCGCAGCAAUUGACGUUACCCGCAGAAGAAGCACCGGCUAACUCCGUGCCAGCAGCCGCGGUAAUACGGAGGGUGCAAGCGUUAAUCGGAAUUACUGGGCGUAAAGCGCACGCAGGCGGUCUGUCAAGUCGGAUGUGAAAUCCCCGGGCUCAACCUGGGAACUGCAUUCGAAACUGGCAGGCUUGAGUCUUGUAGAGGGGGGUAGAAUUCCAGGUGUAGCGGUGAAAUGCGUAGAGAUCUGGAGGAAUACCGGUGGCGAAGGCGGCCCCCUGGACAAAGACUGACGCUCAGGUGCGAAAG